GCACAUAGCUCAGUGGGAGAGCAUCUGCUUUGCAUGCAGAAAGUCCCAAUUUCAAUUCCUGGCAUCUCCA
Molecule: non-coding RNA, 70 nt
Organism: Podarcis lilfordi (Lilford's wall lizard)
Lineage: Eukaryota; Metazoa; Chordata; Lepidosauria; Squamata; Lacertidae
Source: the annotation of a GenBank genome assembly